CUAACAAGGAUUCCCCUAGUAACUGCGAGUGAAGCGGGAAAAGCUCAAAUUUGAAAUCUGGCAGUCUUUUUUUUCUUCUUUGGCUGUCUGAGUUGUAAUCUAGAGAAGUGCUUACCUGCGCUGGACCAUGUAUAAGUCUCCUGGAAUGGAGCCUCACAGAGGGUGAGAAUCCCGUCUUUGACAUGGACUGCCAGUGUGUUGUGGUGUGCUCUCAAAGAGUCGAGUUGUUUGGGAAUGCAGCUCUAAAUGGGUGGUAAACUCCAUCUAAAGCUAAAUAUUGGCGAGAGACCGAUAGCGAACAAGUACCGUGAGGGAAAGAUGAAAAGGACUUUGGAAAGAGAGUUAAACAGUAUGUGAAAUUGUUGAAAGGGAAACACUUGAAGUCAGUUAUGUCAGCUAGGGAUCAACCCAGCUGUUUUGCUGGGUGAUUUUCCUAGUCUUGACAGGCCAACAUCAGUCUUGGCUGCUGGAAAAGAGCAGAGGGAAUGUGGCACCUUUGGGUGUGUUUAUAGCCCUUUGUCAUAUGUGGCAGUUGGGACUGAGGGAUGCAGCAUGCCGCGAGGCCAGGUUUUUUUUUGACCAUGUUUCAUGCUUAGGAUGUUGGCUUUUAAUGGCUUCAAUUGACCCGUCUUGAAACACGGACCAAGGAGUCUAACAUGCCUGUGAGUGUUUGGGUGGGGAAAACCCUUGCGCACAAUGAAAGUGAAAGUUGAGAUCCCUGUCAUGGGGAGCAUCGACGCCCGGACCUGAGCUUUUUAGCGAUGGAUCUGCGGUAGAGCAUGCAUGUUGGGACCCGAAAGAUGGUGAACUAUGCCUGAAUAGGGCAAAGCCAGAGGAAACUCUGGUGGAGGCUCGUAGCGAUUCUGACGUGCAAAUCGAUCGUCAAAUUUGGGUAUAGGGGCGAAAGACUAAUCG
Molecule: ribosomal RNA, 915 nt
Filed under: Amanita albidostipes
Lineage: Eukaryota; Fungi; Basidiomycota; Agaricomycetes; Agaricales; Amanitaceae
Description: eukaryotic LSU rRNA
Rfam family: Eukaryotic large subunit ribosomal RNA
Source: RNAcentral